This 1250-nucleotide long non-coding RNA is filed under the name Canis lupus familiaris (dog). RNAcentral describes it as "lncRNA (ENSCAFG00000052118.1)". Lineage: Eukaryota; Metazoa; Chordata; Mammalia; Carnivora; Canidae. The record is from RNAcentral.
GCACAACUCCCAGGGGACCCAUCUGUGGUGAUUCCUGCCCUCGAUGACCUGUGCACAGAACCCAAGACUAUAGCACGGCCGGGGUUGUGGUGCAGGGCUCCUCUCCCUUCCAAGCCCCCUCCCCCUCUCUCCAUGUGGUAGGAGUCCUGCCUCCCCUUCCAAGUCCCGUGGGACUUUGCCCCCAACCUGGUUUUAUCUGACCACCGCUCUGUGUGUCUUCACAGAGUAAACAGCUUUUUGCUGGGCUUGUGCUCCCAGGGUCUGGGCCACGGCUUGCUCUGGGUGACCUCCCCCAGAAUCUGGCCCAGUGGCCUCCAUCCUGGCAGCAACCAGCCGAAACUCUCCUGGUGGGGGGGGGGAGGGCAGGCUUCCUUAUCUCUUCCACCAAAAGACCUCAUUCCUCUGGCAGGGCUAGGAAGUCUGGCGGUGGUCAGGGAAGGGCCAACAGGUGACAGACCCAGGAGUCCGCCCCCGCCCCCCCCAGCUGAGUUCCCCAAAGUGCCCUCAUUAGGCAUUAGGCCAACACCAAAAUCGCUGGUGAGGCAAGUGCACAGAUGAUGAGAGUCAGAAUAGGAGUGAUCAGGUCAGAGGGGAAGGUGAUAAGGAUGGGGCUACAGUAAUCAGGGUGGGGCUUUUUGACAUUCCCAGGACUCUGCCCUCAGAUCCUCUCUCUGACGGUUCCCCACUCUGUCUGCCCACCCAAGCCUAGAACAAGGGUGCCCCUAGGGCUGGGGAUCCUGGUCUUUAGGACCCGACCCUGGCUGGGGCUGGCUACCCCAUGCGUCCAGGGGCCUGUGGUCUGUGACUCAGUGUCUUUCUCCAGGCUGACCUCAGCAUGGGCCUGGGGGCUGGGAGACAGGGCAGUUUCCCCUGAGACUGGCUCUCCAGGAUCUUGACUCAGGGGCCCAAGGCUGAGGUCCUGCAGUGCCUUUGUUGGCCUUGGCUCAGGAAUCCAGAUAAACUGGUCAGGGGGCAGGCCCCAGGGACCGAAACCCCUCCCUCUGCUCCCGCCCUCCCACACAGCCAUAUAACUGCUCCUGUCUUGGGGCGAGAGCCACUGGCUGAAAGGAACUGGUCUGGGUCCGCUCACCUGGCUUGUCCUUCUGACUGCGGAGAGCUGGGGAGCUGAUCCAACCGCCUCUGCCUCUGGACUCCAAGUGAAAGUCUUCCCUGUGGACGCAGAGUGUCUGUCCUCACCGCUUGGAUCCUACAGCCCUUUGGGUCGGACCCGCACAGGCUUCCAGGUCGUA